GGCGCACGGGUGCGUAACGCGUAUGCAACCUGCCUUAUACAAAGGGAUAGCCCAUGGAAACGUGGAUUAAUAUCUUAUAGGACUGAUUUUUCGCAUGGGAGAUUAGUUAAAACUACGGUGGUAUAAGAUGGGCAUGCGUCUGAUUAGGUAGUUGGUAGGGUAACGGCCUACCAAGCCGACGAUCAGUAGGGGUUCUGAGAGGAUUAUCCCCCACACUGGUACUGAGACACGGACCAGACUCCUACGGGAGGCAGCAGUGAGGAAUAUUGGUCAAUGGACGAGAGUCUGAACCAGCCAUCCCGCGUGCAGGAUGACGGCCCUAUGGGUUGUAAACUGCUUUUCUAAGCCAAGAAACCUGUCAACGUGUUGACAGCUGACGGUAGUGUAGGAAUAAGCACCGGCUAACUCCGUGCCAGCAGCCGCGGUAAUACGGAGGGUGCAAGCGUUAUCCGGAUUCAUUGGGUUUAAAGGGUGCGCAGGUGGGAAAGUAAGUCAGUGGUGAAAUACUGCCGCUUAACGGUAGAACUGCCAUUGAUACUGCUUUUCUUGAGUAUGGUUGAGGUAGGUGGAAUGUG
RNAcentral lists this ribosomal RNA (575 nucleotides) under uncultured Bacteroidota bacterium. Its description in RNAcentral is "bacterial SSU rRNA". It matches the Rfam family "Bacterial small subunit ribosomal RNA", at positions 97 to 670 of the family's 1533-position model. Lineage: Bacteria; Pseudomonadati; Bacteroidota. The record is from RNAcentral.